GUCCCAGUAGCGUAGUGGUUAACGCACAGUCCCGGUUGGGCGCGAGACGCGGGUUCGAAUCCCGUCUAAGAUG
Molecule: transfer RNA, 73 nt
Filed under: Nippostrongylus brasiliensis
Lineage: Eukaryota; Metazoa; Nematoda; Chromadorea; Rhabditida; Heligmosomidae
Rfam family: tRNA
About the family: Transfer RNA (tRNA) molecules are approximately 80 nucleotides in length. Their secondary structure includes four short double-helical elements and three loops (D, anti-codon, and T loops).
Source: Rfam by way of RNAcentral